UGGGGAAUUUUGGACAAUGGGCGCAAGCCUGAUCCAGCCAUGCCGCGUGCGGGAAGAAGGCCUUCGGGUUGUAAACCGCUUUUGUCAGGGAAGAAAUCUUCUGAGUUAAUACCUCGGGAGGAUGACGGUACCUGAAGAAUAAGCACCGGCUAACUACGUGCCAGCAGCCGCGGUAAUACGUAGGGUGCAAGCGUUAAUCGGAAUUACUGGGCGUAAAGCGUGCGCAGGCGGUUUUGUAAGACAGAGGUGAAAUCCCCGGGCUCAACCUGGGAACUGCCUUUGUGACUGCAAGGCUUGAGUGCGGCAGAGGGGGAUGGAAUUCCGCGUGUAGCAGUGAGAUGCGUAGAUAUGCGGAGGAACACCGAUGGCGAAGGCAAUCCCCUGGGCCUGCACUGACGCUCAUGCACGAAAGCGUGGGGAGCAAACAGGAUUAGAUACCCUGGUAGUCCACGCCCUAAACGAUGUCAACUGGUUGUUGGGAAGGUUCCUUCUCAGUAACGUAGCUAACGCGUGAAGUUGACCGCCUGGGGAGUACGGCCGCAAGGUUGAAACUCAAAUGAAUUGACGGGGUCAUAGCUGUUUCCUG
This 586-nucleotide ribosomal RNA is filed under the name uncultured bacterium. RNAcentral describes it as "partial 16S ribosomal RNA". It matches the Rfam family "Bacterial small subunit ribosomal RNA", at positions 355 to 1376 of the family's 1533-position model. The record is from RNAcentral.